This 426-nucleotide ribosomal RNA is filed under the name Triticum aestivum (bread wheat). Its description in RNAcentral is "partial small subunit ribosomal RNA". The record is from RNAcentral. Lineage: Eukaryota; Viridiplantae; Streptophyta; Magnoliopsida; Poales; Poaceae.
AUAUUAAUGCAAGAUUAUUUUUUGGAGAAUCCUACAUAUCCUGCACACCUCUUCCGCAGAAGGUACCGAAUGCGUCGAUCCCUUUUUGUGAAAAUUGUUGAAGCUUGCGAGGCAAAUUGCCGGUACUUCACUCAAAGAAGGAAUGCCGCGGGCUUAAAGGGAUUUAGUGCAUAUCAAAAAAUCUCCGCAGCUAUGCGGGUGAUAGCAUAUGGCGUUCCGGCUGACUAUGCCGAUGAGUAUCUUCGCAUUGGUGAAGAUAGCACAAUUGAGUCUGUGCGUAGAUUUGCGAAAGUGAUCGUCCGUGUCUUUGGUCCCAAGUAUCUUCGGGCACCAAAUGAAGAUGACACAAAGAAAUUGAUGGCAGCUAAUGAGAGGAGAGGUUGGCCUGGGAUGCUAGGUAGCAUUGAUUGUAUGCAUUGGAAUUGG